GGUGCGUCUCCGGUCUAAGUUCCUUGGAACAGGGCGUCAUAGAGGGUGAGAAUCCCGUACGUGACCGGUUGGCAAACCCAUGUGAAACUCCUUCGACGAGUCGAGUUGUUUGGGAAUGCAGCUCAAAAUGGGUGGUAAAUUUCAUCUAAAGCUAAAUAUUGGCCAGAGACCGAUAGCGCACAAGUAGAGUGAUCGAAAGAUGAAAAGCACUUUGGAAAGAGAGUUAAAAAGUACGUGAAAUUGUUGAAAGGGAAGCGCUUGCCACCAGACUCGCCCGGGGGUGAUCAACUGUCCUUUUGGGCGGUGCACUCUCCCCCGGUCGGGCCAGCAUCGAUUCGGGCGGUAGGACAAAGGUUCCGGGAACGUGGCUCACCUCGGUGAGUGUUAUAGCCCGGGGCGUAAUGCUACCAGCCUGGAUCGAGGACCGCGCUUCGGCUAGGAUGCUGGCGUAAUGGUUGCUAGCGACCCGUCUUGAAACACGGACCAAGGAGUCGACCAACUCUGCGAGUGUUUGGGUGUUAAACCCGUGCGCGUAAUGAAAGUGAACGGAGGUGAGACCCCGCAAGGGCGCAUCAUCGACCGAUCCUGAUGUCUUCGGAUGGAUUUGAGUAAGAGCAAAGUUGGUCGGACCCGAAAGAUGGUGAACUAUGCGUGAAUAGGGUGAAGCCAGAGGAAACUCUGGUGGAGGCUCGCAGCGGUUCUGACGUGCAAAUCGAUCGUCAAAUUUGCGUAUAGGGGCGAAAGACUAAUCGAACCAU
This 758-nucleotide ribosomal RNA is filed under the name Odontotrema sp. 2 EB-2010. Its description in RNAcentral is "LSU rRNA". It matches the Rfam family "Eukaryotic large subunit ribosomal RNA", at positions 167 to 943 of the family's 3401-position model. Lineage: Eukaryota; Fungi; Ascomycota; Lecanoromycetes; Ostropales; Odontotremataceae. The record is from RNAcentral.